CAGCAGUAGCCGCGGUAAUACGAGGGGGGCAAGCGUUGUUCGGAAUUAUUGGGCGUAAAGGGUGCGUAGGCGGUUUGGCAAGUCUUGUGUGAAAUCUUCGGGCUCAACCCGAAGCCUGCACGAGAAACUGCCGGGCUUGAGUAUUGGAGAGGUGAGUGGAAUUUCCGGUGUAGCGGUGAAAUGCGUAGAUAUCGGAAGGAACACCUGUGGCGAAAGCGGCUCACUGGACAAUAACUGACGCUGAUGCACGAAAGCUAGGGGAGCAAACAGGAUUAGAUACCCCAGUAGUCCCUGUCUCUUAUAC
Molecule: ribosomal RNA, 304 nt
Filed under: uncultured bacterium
Lineage: Bacteria
Description: partial 16S ribosomal RNA
Rfam family: Bacterial small subunit ribosomal RNA
Source: RNAcentral